Molecule: ribosomal RNA, 491 nt
Filed under: uncultured bacterium
Lineage: Bacteria
Description: bacterial SSU rRNA
Rfam family: Bacterial small subunit ribosomal RNA
Source: RNAcentral
AUUAAACUCUGGCGGCAUGCCUUACACAUGCAAGUCGAACGGCAGCACGGGGGCAACCCUGGUGGCGAGUGGCGAACGGGUGAGUAAAGCAUCGGAACGUGCCCUGGAGUGGGGGAUAACGUAGCGAAAGUUACGCUAAUACCGCAUAUUCUGUGAGCAGGAAAGCAGGGGGAUCGCAAGACCUUGCGCUCUGGGAGCGGCCGAUGUCGGAUUAGCUAGUUGGUGGGGUAAAGGCCUACCAAGGCGACGAUCCGUAGCGGGUCUGAGAGGAUGAUCCGCCACACUGGGACUGAGACACGGCCCAGACUCCUACGGGAGGCAGCAGUGGGAAUUUUGGACAAUGGGCGAAAGCCUGAUCCAGCCAUGCCGCGUGAGUGAAGAAGGCCCUCGGGUUGUAAAGCUCUUCGGUGGGAGAAUUGCAUGGGUUAAUACCCUGUGUAGAUGACGGUACCUGGAGAAGAAGCACCGGCUAACUACGUGCCAGCAGCCGC